Molecule: transfer RNA, 51 nt
Filed under: Timmia sibirica
Lineage: Eukaryota; Viridiplantae; Streptophyta; Bryopsida; Timmiales; Timmiaceae
Also listed under: 3 other names
Description: tRNA-Leu
Source: RNAcentral
AGAAAAUCCGUUGGCUUUAGUGACCGUGAGGGUUCAAGUCCCUCUACCCCC